GCUAAAUAGCUAGCUUAAUCAUCACAUUAAAUUAACAAUAUAAAUAAAGUAGAAAAACCUAAAAUUAUUAAUUAA
Molecule: ribosomal RNA, 75 nt
Filed under: Misgurnus anguillicaudatus (oriental weatherfish)
Lineage: Eukaryota; Metazoa; Chordata; Actinopteri; Cypriniformes; Cobitidae
Description: partial 16S ribosomal RNA
Source: RNAcentral